AACGAACGCUGGCGGCAUGCCUAACACAUGCAAGUCGAACGAGACCUUCGGGUCUAGUGGCGCACGGGUGCGUAACGCGUGGGAACCUGCCCUUAGGUUCGGAAUAACUCCCCGAAAGGGGUGCUAAUACCGGAUAAUGUCUUCGGACCAAAGAUUUAUCGCCUUUGGAUGGGCCCGCGUUGGAUUAGCUAGUUGGUAGGGUAAAAGCCUACCAAGGCGACGAUCCAUAGCUGGUCUGAGAGGAUGAUCAGCCACACUGGGACUGAGACACGGCCCAGACCCCUCCGGGAGGCGGCAGUGGGGAAUAUUGGACAAGGGGCGAAAGCCUGACCCCGCAAGGCCGGGGGAGUGAUGAAGGCCUUAGGGUUGUAAAGCUCUUUUCCCCGGGAUGAUAAUGACAGUCCCGGGAGAAAAAGCCCCGGCUAACUCCGU
Molecule: ribosomal RNA, 432 nt
Filed under: uncultured bacterium
Lineage: Bacteria
Description: partial 16S ribosomal RNA
Rfam family: Bacterial small subunit ribosomal RNA
Source: RNAcentral